AGUGAACGCUGGCGGCGUGCCUAAUACAUGCAAGUCGAACGGACGCACGAUAAGCUUUUGUCUCUGCGGUUGGCGGCGGACGGGUGAGUGACACGUGCAUAAGCUUCCUAUAUGACUGGGAUAACUACGUAAAGCCGUAUCUACUACCGGCUCAUAUUUUCAACGGCUUGGUUCAAAAGUGCAACACACUCUUGCUGUCUCUAUGAGAUGAAUCCGCGCUGCAUUAGCUAGUUGGUAAGGUAACGGCUUACCAAGGCAACGAUGCGUAGCCGAUCUGAGAGGAUGAUCAGCCACACUGGAACUGAGACACGGUCCAGACUCCUACGGGAGGCAGCAGUGGGGAAUCUUGCGCAAUGGGCGCAAGCCUGAUGGAGCAAUGCCGCGUGAGUGAUGAAGGUCUUCGGAUCGUAAAGCUCUGUUGUUAGGGAAGAAAAGAUGUAUGAGUAACCCCCCCUAUCUUGACGGUACCCAAAGAGAAAGCAACGGCUAACUUCGUG
RNAcentral lists this ribosomal RNA (497 nucleotides) under uncultured bacterium. Its description in RNAcentral is "partial 16S ribosomal RNA". It matches the Rfam family "Bacterial small subunit ribosomal RNA", at positions 29 to 507 of the family's 1533-position model. The record is from RNAcentral.